UAAAGCUAAAAAGAGCGCAGGGCGAAUGCCUUGGCAUUGGGAGCCGACGAAGGACGUGAUUAACUGCGAUAAGCUGCGGGGAAUGGUAAGUACAUAUUGAUCCGCAGAUUUCCGAAUGGAGCAAUCCGUACAAGAGCAGCUUGUACAUCAUAUACUGAAUAAAAUAGGUAUAUGAGGGGAACCGCCUGAACUGAAACAUCUAAGUAGGGCGAGGAAGAGAAAUCAACCGAGAUUUCCUAAGUAGUGGCGAGCGAACGGGAAAGAGGCCAAACCAAAGAGAGCAAUCUUUAUGGGGUUUAGGACUGCAAAAUGUAUUGACAAUCUUUAACCGAACACAAUGGGAAGUGUGAUCAGAGAGCGUGAGAAUCGCGUAGGUGAAAAGGAAAGUCAGCAGGCAGGAUCCAGAGUACCGCCGGACACGUGAAACCCGGUGGGAAGACGGGGGGACCACCCUCCAAGCCUAAAUACUACCCAAUGACCGAUAGUGAAUAAGUACUGUGAAGGAAAGGUGAAAAGCACCCCGGGAGGGGAGUGAAAGAGAACCUGAAACCCUGUGCUUACAAGCACAUAGAGCACAUCAAAGUGUGAUAUGGUACCUUUUGUAGAAUGGUCCGGCGAGUUAUCGUGUGCAGCAAGGUUAAGUUCUUAAGGAACGGAGCCGAAGCGAGAGCGAGUCUUAAUAGGGCGUUAAGUUGUACGUGAUAGACCCGAAACCGGGUGACCUAGCCAUGUCCAGGCUGAAGUGGAGGUAAAACUCCAUGGAGGGCCGAACCGACCCCCGUUGAAAAGGUGGCGGAUGAGGUGUGGCUAGCGGAGAAAUUCCAAUCGAACCCGGAUAUAGCUGGUUCUCCCCGAAAUAGCUUUAGGGCUAGCGUUAUGAUAGAUUACCGGAGGUAAAGCACUGAAUUGGCUAGGGGCCGAGAGGUUACUGAACCAUAUCAAACUCAGAAUGCCGGAUAAUCGUUUCAUAGCAGUCAGACUACGUGAGAUAAGUCUCGUGGUCAAAAGGGAAACAGCCCAGACCCACAGCUAAGGUCCCAAAAUAGAUUUAAGUGGAGAAGGAUGUGGAGUUGCACAGACAACCAGGAUGUUGGCUUAGAAGCAGCCACUCAUUAAAAGAGUGCGUAAUAGCUCACUGGUCGAGUGACUCUGCGCCGAAAAUUCAACGGGGCUAAAAUCUAUACCGAAGCUUGGGCUUGAUGACUUGUCAUCAGGGGUAGGGGAGCGUUGUAUGAGUGGAGAAGUCAUAGCGGAAGCGAUGGUGGAGUUCAUACAAGUGAGAAUGCCGGAAUGAGUAGCGAGAAUUAUGUGAGAAUCAUAAUGGCCGAAAGUCUAAGGUUUCAGAAGGAAGGUUCGUCCGCUCCAAGUAAGUCGGGAGCUAAGGUCAGGCCGAAAGGCGUAGCCGAUGCACAUACGGUUGAAAUUCCGUAACCAUCAGAAAGACUUAAACAAAGGGACACUUCAAAAGGGUGUGACCCGGGCGUUGGUAGACCCGGGCGUAAGGGACCGAAAAUAGAGUAGGGAAGCACACUUGGCUCAAGGCGAGAAAAGCUUUGUGUAUAGAAGCAGAUGCCCGUACCGCAAACCGACACAGGUGGACAGGAAGAGAAUUCUAAGGCCAGCGGGGGAAGGGUAGUUAAGGAACUCGGCAAAUUGACUCCGUAACUUAGGAAUAAGGAGUACUCGAGCAAGCAAGCCGCAGAGAAUAGGCCCAGGCGACUGUUUAGCAAAAACACAGGUCUCUGCCAAAUCGAAAGAUGAAGUAUAGGGGCUGACACCUGCCCGGUGCCGGAAGGUUAAGAGGAGAAGUGAGAGCGCCGAAUCGAAGCCCCGGUAAACGGCGGCCGUAACUAUAACGGUCCUAAGGUAGCGAAAUUCCUUGUCAGGUAAGUUCCGACCCGCACGAAUGGUGUAACGAUCUGGGCACUGUCUCAACAACCCACCCGGCGAAAUUGUAGUACCGGUGAAGAUGCCGGUUACCCGCGACAAGACGGAAAGACCCCAUGGAGCUUUACUGUAGCCUGAUAUUGGGUUUCGGUAAUCUAUGUACAGGAUAGGCGGGAGACUGG
RNAcentral lists this ribosomal RNA (2069 nucleotides) under wallaby gut metagenome. Its description in RNAcentral is "bacterial LSU rRNA". It matches the Rfam family "Bacterial large subunit ribosomal RNA", at positions 1 to 2158 of the family's 2925-position model. The record is from RNAcentral.